Molecule: ribosomal RNA, 254 nt
Filed under: uncultured bacterium
Lineage: Bacteria
Description: partial 16S ribosomal RNA
Rfam family: Bacterial small subunit ribosomal RNA
Source: RNAcentral
UACGUAGGGGGCGAGCGUUGUCCGGAUUCAUUGGGCGUAAAGAGCUCGUAGGCGGCUUGGCAAGUCGGGUGUGAAAACUUCAGGCUCAACCUGGAGCGGCCACUCGAUACUGCCAUGGCUUGAGUCCGGUAGGGGACCACGGAAUUCCUGGUGUAGCGGUGAAAUGCGCAGAUAUCAGUAGGAACACCGGUGGCGAAGGCGGUGGUCUGGGCCGGAACUGACGCUGAGGAGCGAAAGCGUGGGGAGCGAACAGG